UUUCCGUAGGUGAACCUGCGGAAGGAUCAUUAUUGUGUAACCGAGGUGCGAGGGCUGUCGCUGACCCGAAAGGUCGUGCACGCCCGACUGCCCUCACACACAUCCAUCUCACCCCUAUGUGCACCACCCCGUUGGUCUCCCUCUGGCUCUGUCGGAGGGGGGCUUACGUUUUCACACAAAAUUUUAAUGCAGUGUAGAAUGUAUUUUUUGUGAUUGCAAUCACACAAUUAAUACAACUUUCAACAACGGAUCUCUUGGCUCUC
RNAcentral lists this unclassified non-coding RNA (263 nucleotides) under plant metagenome. RNAcentral's name for it is "partial contains small subunit ribosomal RNA, internal transcribed spacer 1, and 5.8S ribosomal RNA". The record is from RNAcentral.